UACGUAGGGUGCGAGCGUUGUCCGGAAUUAUUGGGCGUAAAGAGCUCGUAGGCGGUGUGUCACGUCGGCCGUGAAAACCUGCAGCUUAACUGUGGGCGUGCGGUCGAUACGGGCAUCACUGGAGUUCGGCAGGGGAGACUGGAAUUCCUGGUGUAGCGGUGAAAUGCGCAGAUAUCAGGAGGAACACCGGUGGCGAAGGCGGGUCUCUGGGCCGAGACUGACGCUGAGGCGCGAAAGCGUGGGGAGCAAACAGG
Molecule: ribosomal RNA, 254 nt
Filed under: uncultured bacterium
Lineage: Bacteria
Description: partial 16S ribosomal RNA
Rfam family: Bacterial small subunit ribosomal RNA
Source: RNAcentral